CCGCUGCCCGGGCUUCUGGCUUGCCUCAGUCUCCCCAUCUGCAAACUGGGCCUGUGGAAUGCUGCUCUCCUGCGGAGGGUCACACAGGGCCUGACUCAGGAAAACCCUACGUAUAGUCAGAUAGAUAGCUCUGCCCUAGGACAUCGCUCUCUUCCCUGAAUGAGGGGUCUCUGCACCCUGCUUUGGGAGACAGUGUCUCACCGAGUUGCCSAGCACCUUGCCG
This is a long non-coding RNA of Urocitellus parryii (Arctic ground squirrel), 223 nucleotides long. RefSeq lists it as uncharacterized. Lineage: Eukaryota; Metazoa; Chordata; Mammalia; Rodentia; Sciuridae. The record is from RefSeq and is a predicted model, not a curated record.